GGAAUGUAUUAACCAUAAAGUUCUAGAUAAGGGAUUGAUUAGGACAAAUACUUAUCUAUGUGUCUUGACCAAAUCAUGUGCCAGCAGUCGCGGUAACACAUGGAAGACUAGUGUUAUUCAUCUUUAUUAGGUUUAAAGGGUACCUAGACGGCAGAUUUCGCCCCUAAAGGGUACAAAUAAGCUAGAGUUUGGAGUGAGAAGGUAGAAUUCUUGGAAGAGAGAUGGAAUAUCGAGAGACCAAGGAGACUGGCAGCGGUGAAGGCAACCUUCUAAAGAAAAACUGACGUUGAGGGACGAAGGCUUGGGUAUCGAUAAGGAUUAGAGACCCUUGUAGUCCAAGCAGAAAAUCAUGAGUGUCAUAUAUUAAAAUUUAAUGUAUAAAUGAAAGUGUAAGCAUUCCACCUUAAGAGUAAUGUGGCAACGCAGAAACUGAAAUCAUUAGACCGUCUCUGAAACCAGUAGUGAAGUAUGUUAUUUAAUUCGAUGACCCCCGAAAAACCUUACCACAAUUUGUAUAUUAUUAAGUUAAUAGCAGGUGCUGCACGGCUGUUUUUAGUUAAUGUCGUGAGAUUCUG
This 575-nucleotide ribosomal RNA is filed under the name Dothideomycetes sp. A552. Its description in RNAcentral is "SSU rRNA". It matches the Rfam family "Bacterial small subunit ribosomal RNA", at positions 409 to 1077 of the family's 1533-position model. Lineage: Eukaryota; Fungi; Ascomycota; Dothideomycetes. The record is from RNAcentral.